ACCACAGCAUAUUUGUUUAAAUGCAUUCAUCCUCCAUUUUGCAUUGCCUUGCAUAUAAAAAUAAAAAAAAUAAAAAAAUAUUUGCCUCAUGUCUUCAUCACUCAAUAUCUUGUCUCUAGUAUAAUGAAUCUUGUUCAUCCUAUCAUGCUCUCUCUUUCUAUGUUAGUAUGCUUUGGUUUGGUUAUACUAAUCGCUCAAGUGAGUACCUCCAUAGUCUUUUUAAAUUAAGCAUGGUGCUUAGGUCAAAUAUACUACCUCAAUCAAACAAGACAUGGUGUUAAGUUUGAUUAUUGAACUAAACAUACUUGCAUGGAACUUGGGUGCACUUUUGGACUAACCCCUGCAGCAAGAACAUCGAUAUCUCUAUGGGUAAGUCAUG
This 379-nucleotide long non-coding RNA is filed under the name Sorghum bicolor (sorghum). RNAcentral describes it as "long non-coding RNA (SBIC_LNC012972)". The record is from RNAcentral. Lineage: Eukaryota; Viridiplantae; Streptophyta; Magnoliopsida; Poales; Poaceae.